This 441-nucleotide ribosomal RNA is filed under the name Drosophila neocordata. RNAcentral describes it as "partial 12S ribosomal RNA". The record is from RNAcentral. Lineage: Eukaryota; Metazoa; Arthropoda; Insecta; Diptera; Drosophilidae.
UAUUAUUUAAAAUGUAAAUUAAAUUAUUAAAGUAGUAAUAGUUAUGUUCUUGAAACUUAAAAAAUUUGGCGGUAUUUUAAUCUUUCCAGAGGAACCUGUUUUGUAAUCGAUAAUCCACGAUGGACCUUACUUAAUUUUGUAAUCAGUUUAUAUACCGUCGUUAUCAGAAUAUUUUAUAAGAAUAAUAAUAUUCAAUAAUUUUAAAGAAAAUAUAUAUCAGAUCAAGGUGUAGCUUAUAAUUAAGUAAUAAUGGGUUACAAUAAAUUUAUUUAAACGGAUAAAAUUAUGAAAAAGUUUUUGAAGGUGGAUUUGGUAGUAAAAUUAUAAAGAUAAAUAAUUUGAUUUUAGCUCUAAAAUAUGUACACAUCGCCCGUCGCUCUUAUUAAUAAGGUAAGAUAAGUCGUAACAUAGUAGAUGUACUGGAAAGUGUAUCUAGAAUGA